AUACUUCUGGUCAGUAGGUGAGAUACCAGGAUCAUGAAGGUGGUUUUCCAGAGCCAAGCUUAUCUGUUGCACUUGUGAUGUACUGACUCUUGCGAUUUCCCAAACAUGAGAAACUCGACUGCACAAUGUGUGUUUGGGGAGUGUGUUUGUGCUCUUCCUAU
RNAcentral lists this small nuclear RNA (161 nucleotides) under Sorex araneus (European shrew). Its description in RNAcentral is "U1 spliceosomal RNA (ENSSARG00000015405.1)". It matches the Rfam family "U1 spliceosomal RNA". From Rfam's summary of the family: U1 is a small nuclear RNA (snRNA) component of the spliceosome (involved in pre-mRNA splicing). The record is from RNAcentral. Lineage: Eukaryota; Metazoa; Chordata; Mammalia; Eulipotyphla; Soricidae.